This 70-nucleotide ribosomal RNA is filed under the name Zonotrichia albicollis (white-throated sparrow). Its description in RNAcentral is "partial 16S ribosomal RNA". Lineage: Eukaryota; Metazoa; Chordata; Aves; Passeriformes; Passerellidae. The record is from RNAcentral.
UGAUCUCCCUGUACAAAAGCAGGGAUAAACCCAUAAGACGAGAAGACCCUGUGGAACUUCAAAACCAGCA